This is a small nucleolar RNA of Nycticebus coucang (slow loris), 134 nucleotides long. The record is from RefSeq and is a predicted model, not a curated record. NCBI's taxonomy places the organism in Eukaryota, Metazoa, Chordata, Mammalia, Primates, Lorisidae.
ACGCUGCCUUCGAGCCCCCACCACGCACCUGCACGUGGUGGUGAAGGUCGGGCUUCAGGGCCCAAGUGUGUGCUCGUGCGGGACUGGGGCUGCCCCCACGGCGCAGGUGGCCUUUUCAAUUGUGAGCACCAUGG